ACCAGACUCCUACGGGAGGCAGCAGUGGGGAAUAUUGCACAAUGGGGGAAACCCUGAUGCAGCAACGCCGCGUGAGUGAAGAAGUAUUUCGGUAUGUAAAGCUCUAUCAGCAGGGAAGAAGAUGACGGUACCUGACCAAGAAGCCCCGGCUAACUACGUGCCAGCAGCCGCGGUAAUACGUAGGUGGCAAGCGUUGUCCGGAUUUACUGGGUGUAAAGGGCGUGUAGCCGGGAAGGCAAGUCAGAUGUGAAAUCCGGAGGCUCAACCUCCGAAUUGCAUUUGAAACUGUUUUUCUUGAGUACUGGAGAGGCAGACGGAAUUCCUUGUGUAGCGGUGAAAUGCGUAGAUAUAAGGAGGAACACCAUUGGCGAAGGCGGUCUGCUGGGCAGCAACUGACGGUGAGGCGCGAAGGCGUGGGGAGCAAACAGGAUUAGAUACCCCAGUA
Molecule: ribosomal RNA, 445 nt
Filed under: uncultured bacterium
Lineage: Bacteria
Description: bacterial SSU rRNA
Rfam family: Bacterial small subunit ribosomal RNA
Source: RNAcentral